RNAcentral lists this ribosomal RNA (459 nucleotides) under uncultured bacterium. Its description in RNAcentral is "partial 16S ribosomal RNA". It matches the Rfam family "Bacterial small subunit ribosomal RNA", at positions 338 to 795 of the family's 1533-position model. The record is from RNAcentral.
CCUACGGGAGGCAGCAGUGAGGAAUAUUGGUCAAUGGCCGAGAGGCUGAACCAGCCAAGUCGCGUGAGGGAAGACGGCCCUACGGGUUGUAAACCUCUUUUGUCGGGGAGCAAAGCGAGUCACGUGUGACUCAUUGAGAGUACCCGAAGAAAAAGCAUCGGCUAACUCCGUGCCAGCAGCCGCGGUAAUACGGAGGAUGCGAGCGUUAUCCGGAUUUAUUGGGUUUAAAGGGUGCGCAGGCGGUGGUGCAAGUCAGCGGUAAAAUUGCGGGGCUCAACCCCGUACUGCCGUUGAAACUGCAUCCCUUGAGUGCGCGAGAAGUAUGCAGAAUGCGUGGUGUAGCGGUGAAAUGCAUAGAGAUCACGCAGAACUCCGAUUGCGAAGGCAGCACACCGGCGCGCAACUGACGCUCAUGUACGAAAGCGUGGGUAUCGAACAGGAUUAGAUACCCCAGUAGUC